This 789-nucleotide ribosomal RNA is filed under the name Hypocreales sp. L12. RNAcentral describes it as "SSU rRNA". It matches the Rfam family "Eukaryotic small subunit ribosomal RNA", at positions 53 to 853 of the family's 1831-position model. Lineage: Eukaryota; Fungi; Ascomycota; Sordariomycetes; Hypocreales. The record is from RNAcentral.
GCAUGUCUAAGUAUAAGCAAUUAUACAGCGAAACUGCGAAUGGCUCAUUAUAUAAGUUAUCGUUUAUUUGAUAGUACCUUACUACUUGGAUAACCGUGGUAAUUCUAGAGCUAAUACAUGCUAAAAAUCCCGACUUCGGAAGGGAUGUAUUUAUUAGAUUAAAAACCAAUGCCCUCUGGGCUCCUUGGUGAUUCAUAAUAACUUUUCGAAUCGCAUGGCCUUGCGCCGGCGAUGGUUCAUUCAAAUUUCUUCCCUAUCAACUUUCGAUGUUUGGGUAUUGGCCAAACAUGGUCGCAACGGGUAACGGAGGGUUAGGGCUCGACCCCGGAGAAGGAGCCUGAGAAACGGCUACUACAUCCAAGGAAGGCAGCAGGCGCGCAAAUUACCCAAUCCCGAUUCGGGGAGGUAGUGACAAUAAAUACUGAUACAGGGCUCUUUUGGGUCUUGUAAUUGGAAUGAGUACAAUUUAAAUCCCUUAACGAGGAACAAUUGGAGGGCAAGUCUGGUGCCAGCAGCCGCGGUAAUUCCAGCUCCAAUAGCGUAUAUUAAAGUUGUUGUGGUUAAAAAGCUCGUAGUUGAACCUUGGGCCUGGCUGGCCGGUCCGCCUCACCGCGUGUACUGGUCCGGCCGGGCCUUUCCCUCUGUGGAACCUCAUGCCCUUCACUGGGUGUGGCGGGGAAACAGGACUUUUACUUUGAAAAAAUUAGAGUGCUCCAGGCAGGCCUAUGCUCGAAUACAUUAGCAUGGAAUAAUGAAAUAGGACGUGUGGUUCUAUUUUGUUGGUUUCUA